GUGAACGCUGGCGGUAGGCCUAACACAUGCAAGUCGAACGGCAGCACAGUAAGAGCUUGCUCUUACGGGUGGCGAGUGGCGGACGGGUGAGGAAUACAUCGGAAUCUACUUUUUCGUGGGGGAUAACGUAGGGAAACUUACGCUAAUACCGCAUACGACCUACGGGUGAAAGCAGAGGAUCUUCGGACCUUGCGCGAUUGAAUGAGCCGAUGUCGGAUUAGCUAGUUGGCGGGGUAAAGGCCCACCAAGGCGACGAUCCGUAGCUGGUCUGAGAGGAUGAUCAGCCACACUGGAACUGAGACACGGUCCAGACUCCUACGGGAGGCAGCAGUGGGGAAUAUUGGACAAUGGGCGCAAGCCUGAUCCAGCCAUACCGCGUGGGUGAAGAAGGCCUUCGGGUUGUAAAGCCCUUUUGUUGGGAAAGAAAAGCAGCAGGUUAAUACCCCGCUGUUCUGACGGUACCCAAAGAAUAAGCACCGGCUAACUUCGUG
RNAcentral lists this ribosomal RNA (491 nucleotides) under uncultured bacterium. RNAcentral's name for it is "partial 16S ribosomal RNA". It matches the Rfam family "Bacterial small subunit ribosomal RNA", at positions 29 to 507 of the family's 1533-position model. The record is from RNAcentral.